Molecule: ribosomal RNA, 402 nt
Filed under: uncultured bacterium
Lineage: Bacteria
Description: bacterial SSU rRNA
Rfam family: Bacterial small subunit ribosomal RNA
Source: RNAcentral
GGGGAAUAUUGCACAAUGGGGGAAACCCUGAUGCAGCAACGCCGCGUGAGUGAUGACGGUCUUCGGAUUGUAAAGCUCUGUCUUCAGGGACGAUAAUGACGGUACCUGAGGAGGAAGCCACGGCUAACUACGUGCCAGCAGCCGCGGUAAUACGUAGGUGGCAAGCGUUGUCCGGAUUUACUGGGCGUAAAGGGAGCGUAGGUGGAUAUUUAAGUGGGAUGUGAAAUACUCGGGCUUAACCUGGGUGCUGCAUUCCAAACUGAAUAUCUAGAGUGCAGGAGAGGAAAGUAGAAUUCCUAGUGUAGCGGUGAAAUGCGUAGAGAUUAGGAAGAAUACCAGUGGCGAAGGCGACUUUCUGGACUGUAACUGACACUGAGGCUCGAAAGCGUGGGGAGCAAACAG